This is a long non-coding RNA of Mastomys coucha (southern multimammate mouse), 473 nucleotides long. RefSeq lists it as uncharacterized. The record is from RefSeq and is a predicted model, not a curated record. NCBI's taxonomy places the organism in Eukaryota, Metazoa, Chordata, Mammalia, Rodentia, Muridae. The transcript has 3 exons.
UUUUCUUUGACGAUUUCUCUUCUGAGCCACCCAGUGAAGGUUCCUUGCAAGAACACAAGUGGAGGGCUACUUACUGCGAUGCAGAUACCAGUGGCUAUAUCACUGAAGACAAUGACACCUCUUCAUUGUCCCCCAGCGACAGAUGGGGCGGCCUCACCAGCCCCUCCCCAGUGCAGGAUGAAAAGUUGACAGGGCGCGGUCUGCUGUAGGUCUUCUGCAGGUGACAAGAACUGAGGCAAGAAGAAAGGAGUUGCCACCAAGAUGGAGCCUGCACAGAGGGAAGAGUGGCAUGGGAAAGUAUCCUGUAUGCGUGACUUCCAAGACCCACACUCACCGAAGUAACCCAGUGUUGAGGAUACUUAAGCUUUGAUCUCCUGGUUGUGGUGGCUUCUUCAGGACUCUGAAUUCUACUCUAUAUUAAUAGCUUAAAUUAUUUCCAUUAACAAUAGCAGCACAUGAUCCUAUGACCUCCA